RNAcentral lists this long non-coding RNA (312 nucleotides) under Homo sapiens (human). RNAcentral's name for it is "HSALNT0378280". The record is from RNAcentral. Lineage: Eukaryota; Metazoa; Chordata; Mammalia; Primates; Hominidae.
AUGUAGCCUCUGAUUCCAAGAGUCUGAACCACCCCCCCAAAUUGCUCCUGGGGAUAACAUCACUAUUGUAAAACCUAAUUUCAGUGCUUGAGAUAUUUUGCAGACCCUGCACUGGAUGGAUCAGCUGACACUACCCAGACGGGUAAUCUGGCUCAACCAGUUCUGCCAUCCCACCCAGGAACAGAAGACAGCAAGAAAACUUUACUUCAACCCCUUAUGAUUCCAUCUCCAACCUGACGAAUCAGCACUUCCCACUUCCCAAGCCCCUACCUGCCAAAUUAUCUUUAAAAACUUCAAUCCUUGAAUGCUCGG